This 485-nucleotide ribosomal RNA is filed under the name uncultured bacterium. RNAcentral's name for it is "bacterial SSU rRNA". It matches the Rfam family "Bacterial small subunit ribosomal RNA", at positions 30 to 507 of the family's 1533-position model. The record is from RNAcentral.
AUUGAACGCUGGCGGCAUGCCUUACACAUGCAAGUCGAACGGCAGCACGGGAGCAAUCCUGGUGGCGAGUGGCGAACGGGUGAGUAAUAUAUCGGAACGUGCCCAGUCGUGGGGGAUAACGUAGCGAAAGCUACGCUAAUACCGCAUACGAUCUACGGAUGAAGGCGGGGGAUCGCAAGACCUCGCGCGAUUGGAGCGGCCGAUAUCAGAUUUAGCUAGUUGGUGGGGUAAAAGCUCACCAAGGCGACGAUCUGUAGCUGGUCUGAGAGGACGACCAGCCACACUGGAACUGAGACACGGUCCAGACUCCUACGGGAGGCAGCAGUGGGGAAUUUUGGACAAUGGGCGCAAGCCUGAUCCAGCAAUGCCGCGUGCAGGAUGAAGGCCUUCGGGUUGUAAACUGCUUUUGUACGGAACGAAACGGUGAGCUCUAAUAAAGCUUGCUAAUGACGGUACCGUAAGAAUAAGCACCGGCUAACUACGUG